Molecule: ribosomal RNA, 461 nt
Filed under: uncultured bacterium
Lineage: Bacteria
Description: partial 16S ribosomal RNA
Rfam family: Bacterial small subunit ribosomal RNA
Source: RNAcentral
CCUACGGGAGGCAGCAGUGAGGAAUAUUGGUCAAUGGACGAGAGUCUGAACCAGCCAAGUAGCGUGAAGGAUGACUGCCCUAUGGGUUGUAAACUUCUUUUAUAAAGGAAUAAAACGAGGCACGUGUGCCUUUUUUGCAUGUACUUUAUGAAUAAGGAUCGGCUAACUCCGUGCCAGCAGCCGCGGUAAUACGGAGGAUCCGAGCGUUAUCCGGAUUUAUUGGGUUUAAAGGGAGCGUAGAUGGGUUGUUAAGUCAGUUGUGAAAGUUUGCGGCUCAACCGUAAAAUUGCAAUUGAUACUGGCAGUCUUGAGUACAGUUGAGGUAGGCGGAAUUCGUGGUGUAGCGGUGAAAUGCUUAGAUAUCACGAAGAACCCCGAUUGCGAAGGCAGCUUACUAAACUGUGACUGACAUUGAUGCUCGAAAGUGUGGGUAUCAAACAGGAUUAGAUACCCUAGUAGUC